RNAcentral lists this ribosomal RNA (472 nucleotides) under uncultured bacterium. RNAcentral describes it as "bacterial SSU rRNA". It matches the Rfam family "Bacterial small subunit ribosomal RNA", at positions 355 to 825 of the family's 1533-position model. The record is from RNAcentral.
UGGGGAAUUUUGGACAAUGGGCGCAAGCCUGAUCCAGCCAUGCCGCGUGAGUGAAGAAGGCCUUCGGGUUGUAAAGCUCUUUCGGCGGGGACGAAACGGUUCGUGACAACACCACGGACUAAUGACGGUACCCGCAUAAGAAGCACCGGCUAACUACGUGCCAGCAGCCGCGGUAAUACGUAGGGUGCAGGCGUUAAUCGGAAUUACUGGGCGUAAAGCGUGCGCAGGCGGUUUGUUAAGACAGGUGUGAAAUCCCCGGGCUUAACCUGGGAAUUGCGCUUGUAACUGGCAGGCUAGAGUGUGGCAGAGGGGGGUGGAAUUCCACGUGUAGCAGUGAAAUGCGUAGAUACUGGGAGGAACAUCUGAGGCGAAGGCGACUAUCUGGAUCACAACUGACGCUGAGGUACGAAAGCAUGGGUAGCAAACAGGAUUAGAUACCCUAGUAGUCCCUGAGCGGGCUGGCAAGGCGCAU